CUUUAAUGAAAUGAAGUGAAAUGAAAUGGAACUGAAAAGUGACCCAGUCUCACAGAGAAGCAGACUGCACACUACUGAAGUUGUGUGGUGUACAAAGUGUGCAGGAGAGUUAACAGGGGAAGAGACCAAGGGCAGCUGUAACAAAAUUCAGACAAAGGAGGAGAGCACAGUCCUGCCCCAGAAAAAUCUCUAG
Molecule: long non-coding RNA, 193 nt
Organism: Neogale vison (American mink)
Lineage: Eukaryota; Metazoa; Chordata; Mammalia; Carnivora; Mustelidae
Exons: 3
Source: RefSeq, a predicted model, not a curated record